This 66-nucleotide transfer RNA is filed under the name Hemithyrsocera vittata. Its description in RNAcentral is "tRNA-Cys". Lineage: Eukaryota; Metazoa; Arthropoda; Insecta; Blattodea; Blattellidae. The record is from RNAcentral.
GGUCUUAUAUUCACAAGUGAUAAUAGAAUGCAAUUCUAUAGGGGUAAAUAAUAUUUACUAAGGCUU